GACGAACGCUGGCGGCGUGCUUAACACAUGCUAGUCGAACGGAAAGGCCCUGCUUUUGUGGGGUGCUCGAGUGGCGAACGGGUGAGUAACACGUGAGUAACCUGCCCUUGACUUUGGGAUAUCUUCAGGAAACUGGGGCUAAUACCGGAUAGGAGCUCCUGCUGCAUGGUGGGGGUUGGAAAGUUUCGGCGGUUGGGGAUGGACUCGCGGCUUAUCAGCUUGUUGGUGGGGUAGUGGCUUACCAAGGCUUUGACGGGUAGCCGGCCUGAGAGGGUGACCGGCCACAUUGGGACUGAGAUACGGCCCAGACUCCUACGGGAGGCAGCAGUGGGGAAUAUUGCACAAUGGGCGGAAGCCUGAUGCAGCAACGCCGCGUGCGGGAUGACGGCCUUCGGGUUGUAAACCGCUUUCGCCUGUGACGAAGCGUGAGUGACGGUAAUGGGUAAAGAAGCACCGGCUAACUACGUG
RNAcentral lists this ribosomal RNA (468 nucleotides) under uncultured bacterium. Its description in RNAcentral is "partial 16S ribosomal RNA". It matches the Rfam family "Bacterial small subunit ribosomal RNA", at positions 28 to 507 of the family's 1533-position model. The record is from RNAcentral.